Molecule: long non-coding RNA, 568 nt
Filed under: Homo sapiens (human)
Lineage: Eukaryota; Metazoa; Chordata; Mammalia; Primates; Hominidae
Description: non-protein coding lnc-NTHL1-3:2
Source: RNAcentral
AAGGACAAGGGAGUAGUUCUCCAGGAGUGCCGCGGCCUCCUGACCAGCCUGGCUCCGGGGUGCCGGAAGGGCUGGGGUGCGGCACCCACGCCACCCCUCUCCGGCAGGGCAUGGUCCUGGGGCUCCUGUGCCGUGUAUGACAGCGGGGGCUACGUGCAGGAGCUGGGCCUGAGCCUGGAGGAGAGCCGCGACCGGCUGCGCUUCCUGCAGCUGCACAACUGGCUGGACAACAGGUGUGCCUGCUGCUGUUCGCCGUGCACUUCGCCGUGGCCGAGGCCCGUACUUGGCACAGGGAAGGGCGCUGGCGCGUGCUGCGGCUCGGAGCCUGGGCGCGGUGGCUGCUGGUGGCGCUGACGGCGGCCACGGCACUGGUACGCCUCGCCCAGCUGGGUGCCGCUGACCGCCAGUGGACCCGUUUCGUGCGCGGCCGCCCGCGCCGCUUCACUAGCUUCGACCAGGUGGCGCAGCUGAGCUCCGCAGCCCGUGGCCUGGCGGCCUCGCUGCUCUUCCUGCUUUUGGUCAAGGCUGCCCAGCAGCUACGCUUCGUGCGCCAGUGGUCCGUCUUUGG